Molecule: long non-coding RNA, 783 nt
Organism: Solanum pennellii
Lineage: Eukaryota; Viridiplantae; Streptophyta; Magnoliopsida; Solanales; Solanaceae
Exons: 3
Source: RefSeq, a predicted model, not a curated record
CACCCACUUACCCAGUCCCCAACCCACGUUCAGAAAAUGAAAUCAAAACCCCUUUGUGUAUUUUAUCUCUCUGUUAUUUGGCCAAAAAAAUUUUCUUUCCAUCUGUAUUUUGGUAUCAUUAAUGGAGAUUUCUGGUAGCAAUAUACGAGCUUUGUUACCAGAUUGUGUUUUUACCAAGCCUUGGAUGUACUUUUUUGGUCAUGACCCGUUCAUUGCACGUCUUCUCGGCACGAAAAGAAUAUGUUUUGGGUUCAUUCACAUUUCAGUUUUGGGGCUAAAAUUUUCCUUCCCGUGAUACCAAAAGGUGCACGUGCCAUGUUCUUCUAGAUCUAAAAUAUUUUUUAAGUUAUCACAAUUGAGCCUGAUAUUUAUGUGCAUCAUCUUUUGUUAUAAGAUUAGUUUAUGUUACUUGUUUUUUAUACAACAUUGCAGUGAUGUUCAUCUUUGUCUCUACAAGGAGCAUUAGAUAAUUCUAAUUUUGUGUCCAUCCUAUGGACUUAGGUCUAGGGAUCUAAAUACUAAUUGAGGGUCUUCCUUUAAGAGAAAGUGGAGCAGGUUCAACCUUAAAUUAAAGUGCAAGAAGAACAUAAUUAGUUUUGUUAAGGGUAGUUUAAUGUUGUUUUCAUGUACAUGCGCUAAAAUUCUCCUCUUUUUUUCAGGAGGUGCAAUAUGAGUAUAUUUUAGGAAUGGUCACGUUUUGGCUAUUUGUAAUUAAUAAUGAUGUUUUUAUGAGUAUUAAUUAUUAUGUGUUCAAAUGUGUAUUUAUCUGAGAAAAACAUGAAA